Molecule: ribosomal RNA, 259 nt
Filed under: uncultured bacterium
Lineage: Bacteria
Description: partial 16S ribosomal RNA
Rfam family: Bacterial small subunit ribosomal RNA
Source: RNAcentral
UUGGCGGACGGGUGAGUAACGCGUGGGUAACCUGCCUUAUACAGGGGGAUAACACUUAGAAAUAGGUGCUAAUACCGCAUAAGCGCACGGGGCUGCAUGGCCCAGUGUGAAAAACUCCGGUGGUAUAAGAUGGACCCGCGUCUGAUUAGCUUGUUGGUGGGGUAAUGGCUCACCAAGGCGACGAUCAGUAGCCGGCCUGAGAGGGUGAACGGCCACAUUGGGACUGAGACACGGCCCAAACUCCUACGGAAGGCAGCAG